ACGCACGCUGGCGGCGUGCUUAACACAUGCAAGUCGAACGGAAAGGCCCCUUUGGGGGUACUCGAGUGGCGAACGGGUGAGUAACACGUGAGUAACCUGCCCUUGACUUCGGGAUAACUUCAGGAAACUGGGGCUAAUACCGGAUAGGAAUCCUUGCUGCAUGGUGGGGGUUGGAAAGCUUCGGCGGUUUUGGAUGGACUCGCGGCUUAUCAGCUUGUUGGUGGGGUAGUGGCUUACCAAGGCUUUGACGGGUAGCCGGCCUGAGAGGGCGACCGGCCACAUUGGGACUGAGGUAGGGCCCGGACUCCUACGGGAGGCAGCAGUGGGAAAUAUUGCCCAAUGGGCGGAGGCCUGAUGCAGCAACGCCGCGUGCGGGAUGAUGGCCUUCGGGUUGUAAACGGCUUUCAGCAGGGGCGAGGCUUGUGGUGACGGUACCUGAAGAAGAAGCACCGGCUACCUACGU
This 463-nucleotide ribosomal RNA is filed under the name uncultured bacterium. RNAcentral's name for it is "partial 16S ribosomal RNA". It matches the Rfam family "Bacterial small subunit ribosomal RNA", at positions 29 to 506 of the family's 1533-position model. The record is from RNAcentral.